Molecule: long non-coding RNA, 1086 nt
Filed under: Oryctolagus cuniculus (rabbit)
Lineage: Eukaryota; Metazoa; Chordata; Mammalia; Lagomorpha; Leporidae
Description: lncRNA (ENSOCUG00000039146.1)
Source: RNAcentral
CCCGGGGCGCGCGCGCCAUCUCGCACAGUGAAAUUGAUCUGUGCAUAAGCCCCCAGAAUCCUCAGCAGAGUCUCUAUGCUGACAGCCUCCGUGGCGACCUCCGCGUGGAGGUGUUUGUUGAGGAGACUUAUUUCUGGAGAACACCUUCCUUUAUUUGCUUCUCAAGAUGGAGGGAAGUGAGUUAUCAAGGGUUUGGAGGAAAUGUGAAAAAUUGUCUGAAAUGAAGCAAUUUGGCUCCCUCUGGGGAAGAGAUUUUCCUUCGGGAGUAUCCAUUGAAAAGUCAUCAAUAUUAAUGUGCAUUUUUGUAGAGCUCCAGAGCGUUCGGAGUGCUUUUCAACUUUUGUUUUCCCAACCUUGUCGGCGCUCUCUCGCAGGGUGUGAUUUGGAAGCAAAAGUUCUCAUUUGUCUUGCAGAGUCCUCUCAGAAGCCUCAUGAAUUUCCCCAGGACAGAGACUUAAAUGACGAGAGGUUGGUUGAGUACAAGUCUCAGACCCUCUCACUCACUGCAAUAUGGUCCAGGAGGCGGCAGGUCUUUCCUUUGGCUGCCUCGCAUUGAAGCCCUGCCGGACCUGAUACCCACUGCCUCUGCAGCCUGGCCUUUCAAUGCUAGGUCCUUCUCAGUGCCAGUCUGAAAGCAAAACACAGUCGUGCCCAAACACGAUAUGCUUGUUUGUUGAGAAACGUGUACUCAGAGGACGAUUAUCUUCCCUGAGUAACAGCUGAAUGUGAGUAGACAGAAGCCCUCAAACCAUCGAGAUAGUUCCCCCGUGAGAUAUCAUCGGUGUGCUCUUCAUUUUCCAAACAUGGAAAUUGCUUCAACGUUUCUGAUUGUGAAAGUAAUACAGAUUUAUUGUGGUAAGUUCAGAAAGAAAAAUAAGGCAGCAUGAAAUUAAAAUCAUGAAUAUCCAUCAGCCAGAGAAUUCACAAUUUUCACUUUGAAAUAUAAUUUCUGAGGUAUUUUACUAAGCAAACAUUUACACACACAUUGUACACACACAACUCCAUUUGCUGUGAUUUAAAAAAAAUUCAUGUAUUACUCAAGUUGGAUAAGUUUUACUGCAGCAAUAAAUUAACUGUAGAUUCUCA